AGCUAGUAUGGUUUGUAACAAGAUGACACACUGAAAUCAGCUUGUUCAGACCAACAAACAAGCUUAGAUGUUUCCUUUGCAGUUCAGAUGUCACCCACUGAACCGAAUCAACCAAGGAGAUGUGCAAGAAGAAGAAGAAGAAGAAGAGGGAAAAAAACUCCCCUUGCCAAGAACACAAGAACAGAGUAUAAGAGUCGAGUUAAUCAGCAGCAGCGGCCGGGGCUCGAUCCACCCGCGCAUAUAUGGUGCCCGUGGCGACGGCGGCGGCUACGGCGUCGUCGUCGCAGACGCCGCGCGUGCCGUAGCAGUGCAGGAACACCCAGAGCAGGGCGGCGUUGAGGAGGGUGUUGACCACCCACGCCCCGAUGCCGCUGCACCCGUCGGCCAUCGCCCCGCCGAAGUGCAUCCACACGACCCAACUUUGGUGUUGGACUGCGUAUCAUGAUCUGAACAAUACGCAGGUAGUCAUGGUGGGAGCAGAAAAGAUCGAUGAUGGUGCAGAAGAAGUUAGUAUGUAUUCUUUCUGUUCCAAAAUAGAUGACCCAAUUUUGUAUUAACUUUAGUAUAAAGUUGGGUCAUCUAUUUUGAAACGAUGGGAGUACGUAGUAAUCCAUCCAUCUGCUGGCCAGCGGAGGACUAAGAGAUCCAUGUCGCUGGGUGCAAGGGAAAAGAGGUAGGCAUUCAGAGCCGCGCCGUAGGUACGUGCGUUCAUGCUUGCAUGUUUUCCAGACGAUGACAGAGUAAACCAGGGUAAUUAAAGUCGAUCAGGUGGCCGGAUCAAGGGGAUCGAGGAUGUGUAAAUACAUGUUUUGGUGUGAUGAUGAUGAUGAUGGUGUAGCGAUGAAAUUGCUAUAAGAAAACAAAGGAGAAAUUGUAGCGCGGUGAUCCGGUAUAUAUCAUGUAAUUGUUUGUGAUUAGUGUUGGUCGUAUUGUAUAUGGGGGAAAUGUUUUGCUAAAGCACAUCUAGAUUUAUUCUAAGUAUUGCA
Long non-coding RNA from Triticum aestivum (bread wheat), 986 nucleotides. RefSeq lists it as uncharacterized. Lineage: Eukaryota; Viridiplantae; Streptophyta; Magnoliopsida; Poales; Poaceae. The transcript is spliced from 2 exons. The record is from RefSeq and is a predicted model, not a curated record.